RNAcentral lists this ribosomal RNA (440 nucleotides) under uncultured bacterium. RNAcentral describes it as "partial 16S ribosomal RNA". It matches the Rfam family "Bacterial small subunit ribosomal RNA", at positions 338 to 795 of the family's 1533-position model. The record is from RNAcentral.
CCUACGGGAGGCAGCAGUGGGGAAUAUUGCACAAUGGGGGAAACCCUGAUGCAGCGACGCCGCGUGAAGGAUGAAGUAUUUCGGUAUGUAAACUUCUAUCAGCAGGGAAGAAAAUGACGGUACCUGACUAAGAAGCCCCGGCUAACUACGUGCCAGCAGCCGCGGUAAUACGUAGGGGGCAAGCGUUAUCCGGCUUUACUGGGUGGAAAGGGAGCGUAGACGGUAUGGCAAGUCUGAUGUGAAAACCCGGGGCUCAACCCCGGGACUGCAUUGGAAACUGCCGAACUAGAGUGUCGGAGAGGCAAGUGGAAUGCCUAGUGUAGCGGUGAAAUGCGUAGAUAUUAGGAGGAACACCAGUGGCGAAGGCGGCAUGCUGGACGAUGACUGACGUUGAGGCUCGAAAGCGUGGGGAGCAAACAGGAUUAGAUACCCGAGUAGUC